This 1491-nucleotide ribosomal RNA is filed under the name metagenome. RNAcentral's name for it is "bacterial SSU rRNA". It matches the Rfam family "Bacterial small subunit ribosomal RNA". The record is from RNAcentral.
GUUUGAUCCUGGCUCAGAUUGAACGCUGGCGGCAUGCCUUACACAUGCAAGUCGAACGGCAGCACGGGAGCUUGCUCCUGGUGGCGAGUGGCGAACGGGUGAGUAAUACAUCGGAACGUACCCUGAAGUGGGGGAUAACGUAGCGAAAGUUACGCUAAUACCACAUAUUCUGUGCGCAGGAAAGAGGGGGCUCGCAAGACCUCUUGCUUUAGGAGCGGCCGAUGUCGGAUUAGCUAGUUGGUGAGGUAAAGGCUCACCAAGGCGACGAUCCGUAGCGGGUCUGAGAGGAUGAUCCGCCACACUGGGACUGAGACACGGCCCAGACUCCUACGGGAGGCAGCAGUGGGGAAUUUUGGACAAUGGGCGCAAGCCUGAUCCAGCCAUGCCGCGUGAGUGAAGAAGGCCUUCGGGUUGUAAAGCUCUUUCGGUGGGGAAGAAAUGGCACGGGCCAAUACCCUGUGUUGAUGACGGUACCCGCACAAGAAGCACCGGCUAACUACGUGCCAGCAGCCGCGGUAAUACGUAGGGGUGCGAGCGUUAAUCGGAAUUACUGGGCGUAAAGCGUGCGCAGGCGGUUGUAUAAGUCAUAUGUGAAAUCCCCGGGCUCAACCUGGGAACUGCAUUUGAGACUGUACGGCUAGAGUUUGGCAGAGGGGGGUGGAAUUCCACGUGUAGCAGUGAAAUGCGUAGAGAUGUGGAGGAACACCGAUGGCGAAGGCAGCCCCCUGGGCCAAUACUGACGCUCAUGCACGAAAGCGUGGGGAGCAAACUGGAUUAGAUACCCUGGUAGUCCACGCCCUAAACGAUGUCAACUAGGUGUUGGAAGGGUUAAACCUUUUAGUGCCGUAGCUAACGCGUGAAGUUGACCGCCUGGGGAGUACGGCCGCAAGGCUAAAACUCAAAGGAAUUGACGGGGACCCGCACAAGCGGUGGAUGAUGUGGAUUAAUUCGAUGCAACGCGAAAAACCUUACCUACCCUUGACAUGUCAGGAAUCCCGGAGAGAUUUGGGAGUGCUCGAAAGAGAACCUGAACACAGGUGCUGCAUGGCUGUCGUCAGCUCGUGUCGUGAGAUGUCGGGUUAAGUCCCGCAACGAGCGCAACCCUUGUCAUUAAUUGCCAUCAUUGAGUUCUCUAGGGAGACUGCCGGUGACAAACCGGAGGAAGGUGGGGAUGACGUCAAGUCCUCAUGGCCCUUAUGGGUAGGGCUUCACACGUCAUACAAUGGUCGGUUCAGAGGGUUGCCAACCCGCGAGGGGGAGCCAAUCUCAGAAAGCCGAUCGUAGUCCGGAUUGGAGUCUGCAACUCGACUCCAUGAAGUCGGAAUCGCUAGUAGUCGCGGAUCAGCAUGUCGCGGUGAAUACGUUCCCGGGUCUUGUACACACCGCCCGUCACACCAUGGGAGCGGGUUCUGCCAGAAGUAGUUAGCCUAACCGCAAGGGGGGCGAUUACCACGGCAGGGUUCGUGACUGGGGUGAAGUCGAGACAAGGUA